RNAcentral lists this ribosomal RNA (253 nucleotides) under uncultured bacterium. RNAcentral describes it as "partial 16S ribosomal RNA". It matches the Rfam family "Bacterial small subunit ribosomal RNA", at positions 524 to 776 of the family's 1533-position model. The record is from RNAcentral.
UACGUAGGGGGCUAGCGUUGUCCGGAUUUAUUGGGCGUAAAGAGCGUGUAGGCGGCUUGGCAAGUCUGCUGUGAAAACUCGAGGCUCAACCUCGAGCUGUCGGUGGAAACUGCUUGGCUAGAGUCCGGAAGAGGAGAGUGGAAUUCCCGGUGUAGCGGUGAAAUGCGCAGAUAUCGGGAAGAACACCCGUGGCGAAGGCGGUUCUCUGGGACGGUACUGACGCUGAGACGCGAAAGCGUGGGGAGCGAACAGG